AGCAGCCGCGGUAAUUCCAGCCCCAAUAGCGUAUAUUAAAGUUGUUGCAGUUAAAAAGCUCGUAGUUGAAUUUCGGGAUUAAUUUACUGGUCGUGCUAUUGUACGUACUGGUUUUAUUGAUUCCUCCCUUCUGACGAACUAUGAUGUCAUUAAUUUGGUGUCUUAGGGAAUCAGGACUGUUACUUUGAAAAAAUUAGAGUGUUUAAAGCAGGCUCAACGCUUGAAUACAUUAGCAUGGAAUAACGGAAUAGGACGUUUGAUUCUAUUUUGUUGGUUUCUUAGGAUCGACGUAAUGAUUAAUAGGGAUAGUUGGGGGCAUUAGUAUUCAAUUGGUCAGAGGUGAAAUUCUUGGAUUUAUUGAAGACUAACUACUGCGAAAGCAUUUGCCA
This 389-nucleotide small RNA is filed under the name uncultured Glomus. Its description in RNAcentral is "SSU rRNA". It matches the Rfam family "Eukaryotic small subunit ribosomal RNA", at positions 569 to 960 of the family's 1831-position model. Lineage: Eukaryota; Fungi; Glomeromycota; Glomeromycetes; Glomerales; Glomeraceae. The record is from RNAcentral.